GAUUAAGUAGCUCAGAUGGUUAGAGCGCCGGACUGAAAAUCCGUUUGUCGACGGUUCAAAUCCGUCCUUAAUCA
Molecule: transfer RNA, 74 nt
Organism: Candidatus Nasuia deltocephalinicola str. NAS-ALF
Lineage: Bacteria; Pseudomonadati; Pseudomonadota; Betaproteobacteria
Rfam family: tRNA
About the family: Transfer RNA (tRNA) molecules are approximately 80 nucleotides in length. Their secondary structure includes four short double-helical elements and three loops (D, anti-codon, and T loops).
Source: Rfam